GAAAAAAAUUGAAAAUUUUAGACUUGCGCGCUCUCCUACCAGAAACCGAUUAAAUUCCUAACCAAGCAGAAAAAACCGCGGCUCAUGCAAGAACUGAGACUCAGCGGUGAGAGCGCAUCGUUGACACAUGAAAAUUAAUAUUCUUCUUCACUAUGACACUCCCCUAGAACUAGACCACCUGUAUGUAGGGUACUAAUAAAAGUCCAUUUGAUAAAGUUCGAGAAGUUUAAAUCUUUCUUAAUGGUCUCAUAUUUUCUUUUUCAUGCCAACCUAGCCGCCUCAAAUGACUUUUAUCACCUUCUUGAGAUUUAUCAAGAUAAGAUGUUGAUUUACAUCAAUGCGUCUGGCAUCAGUCUCUAUUGCUAAUACGUUUUUAUCAGUACUCAUUUCUUGGCAAUAAACACACGUGUGAUUUGUUUUCCCCCAUGCGUUCAGUUUCGGCAAGAUAAAAAAGGCUAUAGUACCAAAACUGCAGUAUAAAGGAGGAACACAUCUGUAUCCUUCAUAGUCAAAGCUAAACAGGAAACAUAUAACCUGAAUAUCGAAGUAGUGCUUUUAAUCGUACCAGUAGAAAAAACAUAUUUUCUCCAGGGGUUGGAGAGCAAUAAUAUGUGACAAACAAUGCAAUUUCUAAUUAGGAGGCGUUAUUUAAUUUGAUUAGUAUCCAGUUGACAGAUUUUCAUGUAUGUACAUCUACAAUGGUUUUCAAACAUUUGACCUUUUACCUGUUAGGCCAUGUUUGUACAUUUGGAAUUCAGCAAUCGGAACAACGUAUCAUGCUCAAGAGCGAGGCUUAUGAAGAGGUCGUCAAAUCGACAGCUUACAUCGAUAAAACCUGGUUUAUUCGAGAUUUAUUUAACCUGCCGCAAUAUCUUGUGAUCACAGCCCCUCAGGGUUUCUCCAAAACGACGAACCUGAACAUGCUGAAAUCAUUCUUUGAACACGAGCUGGAUGGAACCCAUACUGAAAAGGACCCAAAAACCUCAACAAAACUACAGACAUUCAAAGAUAAAAAAAUAUUCACCGAUGAGAAAUUUUUUUGGCAGCACUUCGCUAAAUACCCUGUCAUCCAUUUAGACCAAAGCGCUGUAACGACGAAAAACUUCGACGAGUUUUGAAAAGCUUCGUUAAGCAUUGCAUUGACCCUCUAACGGAGAAAUUCGGUUACUUAUGGAACAAUACCGACAACAAGAUGAAUGCAAAAGCCAAAAAAGGUUAUCCAUGGACUACAGACGACCUCCAAGACUUCGGUGCAGAACUUGCAAGUCUUCUACACCAUCAUCACGGAACCAAACCUAUACUUGUGAUUGAUGAAUACGAUUCUCCUUCGGUCUCCGCCCUUCUGGACGCGGGUGUCUCUGAAAAAGACACCGAGGCUAUAGUACAAUUCUUAAGUAAUUUCUGAAAUAAUACAACAUAAUCACAACACUUUUCGUGCCGUUUUGACCGGGCGUUUGGCCCUGUCACUGAUCCCAAAACUGAAAUAUCAAACAAUUUUUGAGUCCGAAAAAUUGUCCUCUGCCUACGGCUUUCUAGAUGCCGACCUCAAUGAGCUUGAAAAGCGAUUUGCAAUGGCGUCUCCUGAUAUGGAUCAUACCAGAGCUUACUACAGAGGAUAUUGCGUGUAUGAUAAACCGGAAGAACGGAUAUACAAUACUCAAUCAAUCAUUCAUUCACUGCUCAGUAGAACAGUUAUUGAAUAUUGGUCCGGGGAUCUCAUCGAUAAACUAAGGCCUCUCCUAGGGGCUGAACAAUGGGGACCAGCACUGGAAAUGUGCAUC
Molecule: long non-coding RNA, 1781 nt
Filed under: Bemisia tabaci
Lineage: Eukaryota; Metazoa; Arthropoda; Insecta; Hemiptera; Aleyrodidae
Description: lncRNA ENSSSA1NGG009681
Source: RNAcentral